RNAcentral lists this ribosomal RNA (1368 nucleotides) under uncultured bacterium. RNAcentral's name for it is "bacterial SSU rRNA". It matches the Rfam family "Bacterial small subunit ribosomal RNA", at positions 28 to 1393 of the family's 1533-position model. The record is from RNAcentral.
AUUGAACGCUGGCGGAAUGCUUUACACAUGCAAGUCGAACGGCAGCACGGGUGCUUGCACCUGGUGGCGAGUGGCGAACGGGUGAGUAACAUAUCGGAACGUACCCAGUAAUGGGGGAUAACGAGUCGAAAGAUUCGCUAAUACCGCAUACGAUCUAUGGAUGAAAGCGGGGGAUCGCAAGACCUCGCGCGAUUGGAGCGGCCGAUAUCAGAUUAGGUAGUUGGUGGGGUAAAGGCCUACCAAGCCUGCGAUCUGUAGCUGGUCUGAGAGGACGACCAGCCACACUGGAACUGAGACACGGUCCAGACUCCUACGGGAGGCAGCAGUGGGGAAUUUUGGACAAUGGGCGCAAGCCUGAUCCAGCCAUUCCGCGUGAGUGAAGAAGGCCUUCGGGUUGUAAAUCUCUUUCGGCAGGGAAGAAACGCUCUGGGCUUACUACGCCGGGGUAAUGACGGUACCUGAAGAAUAAGCACCGGGCUAACUACCUGCCAGCAGCCGCGGUAAUACGUAUGAGUGCGAGCGUUAAUCGGAAUUACUGGGCGUAAAGCGUGCGCAGGCCGUUGAUGCAAGACAGAUGUGAAAUCCUCGGGGCUUUACCUGCGAAUUGCAUUUUUGGACUUGCAUCGCUGAUGCGGCAGAGGGGGAUGGAAUUCCGCGUGUAGCAGUGAAUGCGUAGAUAUGCGGAGGAACACCGAUGGCGAAGGCAAUCCCUGGGCCUGCACUGACGCUCAUGCACGAAAGCGUGGGGAGCAAACAGGAUUAGAUACCUGGUAGUCCACGCCCUAAACGAUGUCAACUGGUUGUUGGGGAUUAACUUCUUCAGUAACGAAGCUAACGCGUGAAGUUGACCGCCUGGGGAGUACGGCCGCAAGGUUGAAACUCAAAGGAAUUGACGGGGACCCGCACAAGCGGUGGAUGAUGUGGUUUAAUUCGAUGCAACGCGAAAAACCUUACCCACCUUUGACAUGUACGGAACUUGCCAGAGAUGGCUUGGUGCUCGAAAGAGAGCCGUAACACAGGUGCUGCAUGGCUGUCGUCAGCUCGUGUCGUGAGAUGUUGGGUUAAGUCCCGCAACGAGCGCAACCCUUGCCAUUAGUUGCUACGAAAGGGCACUCUAAUGGGACUGCCGGUGAUAAACCGGAGGAAGGUGGGGAUGACGUCAAGUCCUCAUGGCCCUUAUAGGUGGGGCUACACACGUCAUACAAUGGCUGGUACAAAGGGUUGCCAACCCGCGAGGGGGAGCUAAUCCCAUAAAACCAGUCGUAGUCCGGAUCGCAGUCUGCAACUCGACUGCGUGAAGUCGGAAUCGCUAGUAAUCGUGGAUCAGAAUGUCACGGUGAAUACGUUCCCGGGUCUUGUACACACCGC